RNAcentral lists this ribosomal RNA (251 nucleotides) under uncultured bacterium. RNAcentral describes it as "partial 16S ribosomal RNA". It matches the Rfam family "Bacterial small subunit ribosomal RNA", at positions 355 to 604 of the family's 1533-position model. The record is from RNAcentral.
UAAGGAAUAUUGGUCAAUGGACGCAAGUCUGAACCAGCCAUGCCGCGUGAAGGAUGAAGGUCCUCUGGAUUGUAAACUUCUUUUAUCUGGGACGAAAACGGGAUUUUUAUCUCAAUUGACGGUACCAGAGGAAUAAGCACCGGCUAACUCCGUGCCAGCAGCCGCGGUAAUACGGAGGGUGCGAGCGUUAUCCGGAUUUACUGGGUUUAAAGGGUGCGUAGGUGGGCUUAUAAGUCAGUGGUGAGCAAACA